RNAcentral lists this transfer RNA (74 nucleotides) under Flavobacteriaceae bacterium. RNAcentral describes it as "tRNA-Thr". It matches the Rfam family "tRNA". From Rfam's summary of the family: Transfer RNA (tRNA) molecules are approximately 80 nucleotides in length. Their secondary structure includes four short double-helical elements and three loops (D, anti-codon, and T loops). Lineage: Bacteria; Pseudomonadati; Bacteroidota; Flavobacteriia; Flavobacteriales; Flavobacteriaceae. The record is from RNAcentral.
GCCGGUGUAGCUCAGCCGGCUAGAGCAGCUGAUUUGUAAUCAGCAGGUCGUGGGUUCGAGUCCCUCCAUCGGCU